Molecule: long non-coding RNA, 328 nt
Filed under: Citrus sinensis (sweet orange)
Lineage: Eukaryota; Viridiplantae; Streptophyta; Magnoliopsida; Sapindales; Rutaceae
Description: long non-coding RNA (CSIN_LNC004158)
Source: RNAcentral
AAAAAAAAAAAUUUGUUUUUUGUCUAGGAUGGCCGUGUAAAGAGUCACGACUUUUGAGACGCAUCCUAAUAGUCUUGUUGUAUUAUAUUUUGAUUUUGAGAUUUAUAGUAAGUUGUUUUUGUUCCCUUUUCUUUGAAUUACUCAAAUUUGUGAACUCUCCACUUGGUUAUUAAGUUAUUUAAUUGUUUACUCAUUUAACAGGUAUUGUUGAAUCAUUCUUCACACACACAUUAUGACACAUACUAGUGGGUUGUAAGUUAAAAUUUUACAGCAUUUAGUUCUUUUGAUUUAUUAGGAAAAGUAUCUAAGGUAGUAGAAAGUGUAUAUU